GGGGCUGUAGCUCAGUGGUAGAGUGCUUGCCUAACAUGCAGGAGGCACUAGGUUUGAUCCUAAGCACCACA
Molecule: transfer RNA, 71 nt
Filed under: Marmota monax (woodchuck)
Lineage: Eukaryota; Metazoa; Chordata; Mammalia; Rodentia; Sciuridae
Description: tRNA.Val
Rfam family: tRNA
About the family: Transfer RNA (tRNA) molecules are approximately 80 nucleotides in length. Their secondary structure includes four short double-helical elements and three loops (D, anti-codon, and T loops).
Source: RNAcentral